Molecule: long non-coding RNA, 582 nt
Organism: Ictalurus punctatus (channel catfish)
Lineage: Eukaryota; Metazoa; Chordata; Actinopteri; Siluriformes; Ictaluridae
Exons: 3
Source: RefSeq, a predicted model, not a curated record
AGUGACCCAGAGCCUUGACAACUAAGCCAUGGCCUUUCAAGCAGUAACCAAGAGCUUUAAAUACUAAGCCACCACUGCAUCUAUCUAUCUAUCUAUCUCUCUAUCUAAAAUUGCUAUACUUCAUUAUAAUAAUGUGCAUUGUGCAGUAUGGUGAUGCUAGCAGGUAUCACUACUGCCUCACAGCUUUACGGACCCUGGUUUGAACCUGAGGUCUGACUACAGUCUGUUCAUGUUCUCCCACCUCUCAAAAACAUGCCAGUAGGAUGAUUUGGCUACUGGCGAGGAAUGAUUGAUUAAAUGAAUUAAUUAAUAUUCUGCACUGUGAUUGAUUCAGCCAGUCUGUACUAACAAAUGUGUGUCUAUAGUGAGCAUGAGACCCUGAUCUACUGGUACCUGGUGGCCGUUAUUUUGCUACUGGUCAUCAUCGUCUGCGUGCUAAGAAGGAAGUACACAGAGAAUCAAAUCAGGACCAGAGACAGGAGCAAUGACACCACAGUUCACACAGCUGAGAGUGAGGGAUCAUACAGCUCAAUUGCUUUCAAGUCAAGAAAGAAGAAAUCAGAAGCAAGGAACCUGGAGCAG